GCGUAGUGGUCACUGCGCUCGUCUUCCACGCGGGAGACCCGGGUUCAAAUCCCAGCCAAAGCG
This 63-nucleotide transfer RNA is filed under the name Diaphorina citri (Asian citrus psyllid). It matches the Rfam family "tRNA", at positions 10 to 71 of the family's 71-position model. Rfam says of the family: Transfer RNA (tRNA) molecules are approximately 80 nucleotides in length. Their secondary structure includes four short double-helical elements and three loops (D, anti-codon, and T loops). The record is from Rfam by way of RNAcentral. Lineage: Eukaryota; Metazoa; Arthropoda; Insecta; Hemiptera; Psyllidae.